CAUUUUUUCCUCCUUGUGUUCUUGAAGUUUUGGAGAAUCACACAUGUUCUUAAGUGUUUUAUUCUCUACAAGGCUUGAUUAAUCUUACAAAUCAUUUGUCGCGAGACCCUUUAAGCACCGAAAUUAUUACCGAGAGGGGGCAAAUAUCGUAUGAGGACAACGAUUUAAUGUCAUGUUUGAGCCUUCAUUUUCAUCAUAAUUUUUGAUUCGUCUUCAUCUUUUUGAUAUUAUCUAUAUCUUGGUUCUUCUCCAUUUUUUUGAUUGAUGUUGAAUAUUUCCUAACAAUCUCAAAUGAUAUUUGACUCUAGAGAAUGAAACCACUUUGGCGAUAGUCAAGUUGAAGAAUUAUAAUUGAUCGAUUCUAUCAUUUUGAUGGGAUGAAUUCUGCCAAAGAAAUCUGGAAUGUUUGGAAAGAAAGGAUUGAAUCCGGUUUGCAGCAAAAAGCAGAAACUCCAGAUCUCAAGAUAAGUGCUAUAUAAUUCAUUUAAUUCGUUAAAUGAUAGAUGAUGGUUAUAUUGUUGAAUGGACAAAUAUGCAUGCCUGCCUAUGUGUGUAUUUCCAUAAUUGACCAUGAUUCUGUAUGCAUAAUUUGCAUGGACAAAACGGACCAAAAUUUUGCUCACAAAUCUGAAUUUAGUAUAUGUCUUGGGAAUAAAAUGUAUGCACAACAUUGGCAUAAUUCUCCAACAAUCUUAAAGAUGAAGUUUGUUUGCUGUGCAUAAAACAUUUUGUUAGAAAUUGACAGUAUCACGCACUGAAUCUCAUAUUGAUUCCUGUUUCUAUAUCCGAAUAUACUGAAGAAAGAUUUUAUAAUAUGCAUAUAGCUGUCAAUAGUGUUUUAUUGGAAAAGUCAUUUGUAUUAAAUCUGAUAGAUUCUUGUUUCGAUCUUAUAUGUGGCUACAAUUAUUAAACGAAGAUGGUUUAUCUUUAAACAAAUGCAUACGGCAUCGAAACGGUGCAAUUCCAAUAUUGUAUCCAUCUAUUCUAUUUGUUUUCUAGUUUAUUCAUGCCACCAAUGGAGAAAAUGCAUAUAAGACUUGUAUUAUUUAUUUAUUUGGUAGAUAAUGGAUGGCCGCAAAUGCGUGCCUCACUGCCUCUGAUUUUAAAACGGUUUGGCCGAUGACUUUGAAUGUUUUGUUUGUCUAUAUUCCAUUGGCCAAUUGUAUAUUUGCACAAGUCUCUACAUAAAUGGAAUGAAUGCAUGUAAGUGUUAUAAAAUUCAUUUACACAUAGAGACAGUUAAUUCAUUUAUGAAAAAGUGGGGUCAUGAACAUGCGUAAUUAUGAAUUCCAGUUUAUAUGCAAGAUUAUGGACUUUAAGAUACAUGUGAAAUUAGACAGUAGAUCCCAAUGACUGUUAGUGGUAGAUGUAGGCUGUCAAAUCAAGUUUUAAUUCCUUCCAUUUCAAGACGGUUUGGAGACACGUGGGUGACUAUUUUCCUUCUAUGUUGGAAAAUACUAGCAGCGAUCUUUGUUGUGAUAAUAAGAUUGCAAAUAUAGAUGAGAUAAACUUUAUAACUGUUUGGAAUAUGAGAUAUAAUUUAUAAAUGUUUGGAAUAUAAGUUGUUAUUCCUUAAUUUUUAUUUUUUUAUUUUUUAUUUUUAUUUUCUAUGUUCUCAUAAAUUUCUGGAAUGCAUCCCCCAAUCCAAAAUUCGCAAAACCACUUCUUUGAUAGCCAUGGAAGGAAUAAAAUGGAACUCAAUUGUGUGGUUCCUAGUAAGGCUUCUUUGGGGGCUACUGAGAACAUAUUCAUGGCUGAGCAGUGGUGAGAGGCUAUGGAGCCACCGGCUUAUUACAAUAGGGAGUAUGCGAAAUAGGUGUGAUAUAUUUAAUAUCACCAUUAACAAAUUCAUGAAGAUGGGAUCACAGUACGUGGUCAUACAAAUUGGAUAAACUUGUUGGUCAAAAUGGCCUAGUUGGUAUGUGCAAGUGCUUAUUUGAUCUUGACAAAUGUACGUGCAUGAAGAA
This 1967-nucleotide long non-coding RNA is filed under the name Olea europaea subsp. europaea. The record is from RNAcentral. Lineage: Eukaryota; Viridiplantae; Streptophyta; Magnoliopsida; Lamiales; Oleaceae.